UUAAGUUCAGCGGGUAGUCCUACCUGAUUUGAGGUCAAAUGGUCAAGUAGAGGUUGUCUCAAAGAGACGGCUGUGAGCAGAGCACAUGCUUGUCUGUGACCUGGUAAGAGUUCCCAUCAUUACCAAGCUGCAGUUUCGCAUACAAAGGCCCUGCUAAUGGAUUUCAGAAGAGCUGACCCAAAGGGCCAGCAACUCCCAUG
RNAcentral lists this unclassified non-coding RNA (200 nucleotides) under Pluteus sp. RNAcentral describes it as "partial internal transcribed spacer 2". Lineage: Eukaryota; Fungi; Basidiomycota; Agaricomycetes; Agaricales; Pluteaceae. The record is from RNAcentral.